UUAAAGGUUUCAAAACAAGAUUUCUGUGAAUUCAAUCUAGUUUAAACCCAUCUAGAUAGAUAUUUACCCUUCUUUAGAUACACUCUCACUGUAGAUUUUCUAGGCAGCAAGUCCAAAAGAAAGGCAGUAAGACCGUUGGCAAGCUACAGUCGACAUAGAAUCGGUUAGUACCCUUCUAAUAUGAUUUUAAAUUUAGAAUACGGAACUUUUUUUAAAUCAAAGCAUGUAUCAACUUCUUCAUAAUACACAAGGGGGUCUCAAGCCCUAAAACAAAAUAUCGAUUAUUUAGACUUAGUGUCGAGUUAGAUGGCUAGAAUUAGAGUUCCUAAAAUAAUAUGUUGUAGUCCCAGCUCUUGUGAUCAAUAAAAACUAC
This 373-nucleotide long non-coding RNA is filed under the name Brassica napus (rape). RNAcentral's name for it is "long non-coding RNA (BNAP_LNC024076)". Lineage: Eukaryota; Viridiplantae; Streptophyta; Magnoliopsida; Brassicales; Brassicaceae. The record is from RNAcentral.